Molecule: ribosomal RNA, 465 nt
Filed under: Vreelandella stevensii
Lineage: Bacteria; Pseudomonadati; Pseudomonadota; Gammaproteobacteria; Oceanospirillales; Halomonadaceae
Description: partial 16S ribosomal RNA
Rfam family: Bacterial small subunit ribosomal RNA
Source: RNAcentral
CCUACGGGUGGCAGCAGUGGGGAAUAUUGGACAAUGGGGGGAACCCUGAUCCAGCCAUGCCGCGUGUGUGAAGAAGGCCCUCGGGUUGUAAAGCACUUUCAGUGAGGAAGAACGCCUGGUGGUUAAUACCCAUCAGGAAAGACAUCACUCACAGAAGAAGCACCGGCUAACUCCGUGCCAGCAGCCGCGGUAAUACGGAGGGUGCGAGCGUUAAUCGGAAUUACUGGGCGUAAAGCGCGCGUAGGUGGCUUGAUAAGCCGGUUGUGAAAGCCCCGGGCUCAACCUGGGAACGGCAUCCGGAACUGUCAAGCUAGAGUGCAGGAGAGGAAGGUAGAAUUCCCGGUGUAGCGGUGAAAUGCGUAGAGAUUGGGAGGAAUACCAGUGGCGAAGGCGGCCUUCUGGACUAACACUGACGCUGAGGUGCGAAAGCGUGGGUAGCAAACAGGAUUAGAUACCCUGGUAGUC